GACAGAGGGUGCAAACGUUGUUCGGAAUUACUGGGCGUAAAGCGCGUGUAGGCGGCCCUGCAAGUCGGAUGUGAAAUCCCACGGCUCAACCGUGGAAGUGCAUUCGAAGCUGCAGGGCUAGAGUCCUGGAGAGGAAGGUGGAAUGCUUGGUGUAGAGGUGAAAUUCGUAGAUAUCAAGCGGAACACCGGUGGCGAAGGCGGCCUUCUGGACAGUGACUGACGCUGAGACGCGAAAGCGUGGGGAGCAAACAGG
RNAcentral lists this ribosomal RNA (253 nucleotides) under uncultured bacterium. RNAcentral describes it as "partial 16S ribosomal RNA". It matches the Rfam family "Bacterial small subunit ribosomal RNA", at positions 524 to 776 of the family's 1533-position model. The record is from RNAcentral.